ACUGGUAUACUUUUAAUUACAUUUUCUCUGUACUUGUUGCUGGAAUUAGAAGGAAAAUGGACUUUUGUAAACUGGUUUUUAUAGAAUAAACUUAUUAAACUCUUUUUCUUAAUUUAACUAUGAAUUCCUAGAGCUUUCUAUAUAGACAGUAACACUAUUCAGAAAAUAAUGCUAGCUUCACUGCUCUGGCCAGGUCUGCAUGCACAGCAUCUAACAGAAGCUGAGGAAUGGCGCAUCCUUUCCUUGUUCCUGGUCUCAAAGGAGGACUUUCAAAAUGCUAAGGUGAAGGAAUCAAGAAACAAGUGAUUUGCUGAAUGUUGUAUAAGUGGCAUUUUGUAUGCUGAACCCAAGUCCACAGACUCAAAAUUUCUGUUUUUGUUCAUACUUUUAAAAAGAGCAUUUAAUUCACAAGCCAAAUCCUGUUGGCAAGACACUUCCUAAGGAGCUGACAGCUAUGUACAGGAAGCCUUUACCAAUUAAAAGAGGCUGAAUAUGAGAGAAGAGAGUCUGAAGAUUUAAGAAAAGAGCCAUCAAAAAACCCGAAAUCUUGACAUUUGCAACAAUGUGGAUGGAA
This is a long non-coding RNA of Leptonychotes weddellii (Weddell seal), 574 nucleotides long. RefSeq lists it as uncharacterized. The record is from RefSeq and is a predicted model, not a curated record. NCBI's taxonomy places the organism in Eukaryota, Metazoa, Chordata, Mammalia, Carnivora, Phocidae.